RNAcentral lists this long non-coding RNA (484 nucleotides) under Sinocyclocheilus anshuiensis. Its description in RNAcentral is "lncRNA (ENSSANG00000052084.1)". The record is from RNAcentral. Lineage: Eukaryota; Metazoa; Chordata; Actinopteri; Cypriniformes; Cyprinidae.
GUCGCUCAAGAAGACUCAGAGUCCCAGGGUUCCUGUCUGACUCGAGUGAGGAAGUCCUGUAGAGAGCGAGUGUCCAACGAGAGGCAGAGCGCGCUGGAGAGCGAGCUGUCAAUUACUUUUACGCGAGACUGAAGGACAGACAGUCAACACACGCUCCUGAUAUUACAUCUGAGUGAGGACGACGCGCUUUUCUAAAAUGGUGUUGGACCCUCGAGGAGAGGUUGAUGUUGGAGAAGGAGAACUAGAAGACUGUGAAAAGAAAAAGCAGGAGCUGAAUUCACCAAAACAGACCAGCGGGGAGAUGGAGAACAUGGUGUCCACCAAUAGCAGCGAGGAAGGUUCCAGAACAGACCAAUUUGAGAGUGAAGAGAGGACCUUUGUGACCAAUCUGUACGGUUUCAUGAAGGAAAGAAGCAUGCCUAUAGAGAGAAUUCCCCAUCUUGGCUUUAAACAGAUCAACCUGUGGAAAAUCUACAAAGCUGUG